RNAcentral lists this ribosomal RNA (455 nucleotides) under uncultured Sphingobacteriales bacterium. Its description in RNAcentral is "bacterial SSU rRNA". It matches the Rfam family "Bacterial small subunit ribosomal RNA", at positions 925 to 1382 of the family's 1533-position model. The record is from RNAcentral. Lineage: Bacteria; Pseudomonadati; Bacteroidota; Sphingobacteriia; Sphingobacteriales.
ACAAGCGAGGAGCAUGUGGUUAAUUCGAUGAUACGCGAGGAACCUUACCUGGGCUCGAACGUAAGAUGACUGUAGGUGAAAGCUUACAUCUCUUCGGAGCAUUUUACGAGGUGCUGCAUGGUUGUCGUCAGCUCGUGCCGUGAGGUGUCGGGUUAAGUCCCAUAACGAGCGCAACCCCUACCUUUAGUUGCCAUCAGGUUAAGCUGGGGACUCUAAAGGAACUGCCUACGCAAGUAGUGAGGAAGGCGGGGAUGACGUCAAAUCAGCACGGCCCUUACGUCCAGGGCUACACACGUGCUACAAUGGCCGAUACAGAGGGCAGCUACCUGGUGACAGGAUGCAAAUCUCCAAAGUCGGUCUCAGUUCGGAUCGGAGUCUGCAACCCGACUCCGUGAAGUUGGAUUCGCUAGUAAUCGCGCAUCAGCCAUGGCGCGGUGAAUACGUUCCCGGGCCUU